UACGGAGGGGGCAAGCGUUACUCGGAAUUAUUGGGCGUAAAGGGCGCGUAGGCGGUCGUGUGCGUCGGAGGUGAAAUCCCCGGGCUUAACCCGGGAGCUGCCUCCGAUACGGCAUGGCUUGAGUCCGGGAGAGGGGAGCAGAAUUCCCAGUGUAGCGGUGAAAUGCGUAGAUAUUGGGAGGAAUACCAGUGGCGAAGGCGGCUCCCUGGACCGGUACUGACGCUGAUGCGCGAAAGCGUGGGUAGCAAACAGG
RNAcentral lists this ribosomal RNA (253 nucleotides) under uncultured bacterium. Its description in RNAcentral is "partial 16S ribosomal RNA". It matches the Rfam family "Bacterial small subunit ribosomal RNA", at positions 524 to 776 of the family's 1533-position model. The record is from RNAcentral.